AGAGUUUGAUCAUGGCUCAGAGCGAACGCUGGCGGCAGGCCUAAUACAUGCAAGUCGAACGGAUCCUUCGGGAUUAGUGGCGGACGGGUGAGUAACACGUGGGAACGUGCCCUUUGGUUCGGAACAACUCAGGGAAACUUGAGCUAAUACCGAAUGUGCCCUUCGGGGGAAAGAUUUAUCGCCAUUGGAGCGGCCCGCGUCUGAUUAGCUUGUUGGUGAGGUAAAGGCUCACCAAGGCUACGAUCAGUAGCUGGUCUGAGAGGAUGAUCAGCCACACUGGGACUGAGACACGGCCCAGACUCCUACGGGAGGCAGCAGUAGGGAAUCUUGCGCAAUGGGCGAAAGCCUGACGCAGCCAUGCCGCGUGAAUGAUGAAGGUCUUAGGAUUGUAAAAUUCUUUCAGCGGGGACGAUAAUGACGGUACCCGCAGAAGAAGCCCCGGCUAACUUCGUGCCAGCAGCCGCGGUAAUACGAAGGGGGCUAGCGUUGCUCGGAAUUACUGGGCGUAAAGGGCGCGUAGGCGGACAGUUUAGUCAGAGGUAAAAGCCCAGGGCUCAACCUUGGAACUGCCUUUGAUACUGGCUGUCUUGAGUACGGGAGAGGUGUGUGGAACUCCGAGUGUAGAGGUGAAAUUCGUAGAUAUUCGGAAGAACACCAGUGGCGAAGGCGACACACUGGCCCGUUACUGACGCUGAGGCGCGAAAGCGUGGGGAGCAAACAGGAUUAGAUACCCUAGUAGUCC
This 742-nucleotide ribosomal RNA is filed under the name uncultured bacterium. Its description in RNAcentral is "bacterial SSU rRNA". It matches the Rfam family "Bacterial small subunit ribosomal RNA", at positions 8 to 796 of the family's 1533-position model. The record is from RNAcentral.